RNAcentral lists this ribosomal RNA (494 nucleotides) under uncultured bacterium. Its description in RNAcentral is "partial 16S ribosomal RNA". It matches the Rfam family "Bacterial small subunit ribosomal RNA", at positions 28 to 507 of the family's 1533-position model. The record is from RNAcentral.
GACGAACGCUGGCGGCGUGCUUAACACAUGCAAGUCGAACGGUGAAGCGCCUUCCUUUUUAGUGGGUGUGGAUGAGUGGCGAACGGGUGAGUAACACGUGAGUAACCUGCCCCCUUCUUCUGGAUAACCGCAUGAAAGUGUGGCUAAUACGGGAUAUUCUGGGUCUGUCGCAUGAUGGGUCUGGGAAAGAUAUUGUUUCGGUGGGGGAUGGGCUCGCGGCCUAUCAGCUUGUUGGUGGGGUGAUGGCCUACCAAGGCGGUGACGGGUAGCCGGCCUGAGAGGGUGGACGGUCACACUGGGACUGAGACACGGCCCAGACUCCUACGGGAGGCAGCAGUGGGGAAUAGUGCACAAUGGGCGCAAGCCUGAUGCAGCGACGCCGCGUGAGGGAUGGAGGCCUGCGGGUUGUGAACCUCUUUCGCCAGUGAAGCAGGCCUGCCUCGUUUGUGGGUGGGUUGACGGUAGCUGGAUAAGAAGCGCCGGCUAACUACGUG